This 253-nucleotide ribosomal RNA is filed under the name uncultured bacterium. RNAcentral's name for it is "partial 16S ribosomal RNA". It matches the Rfam family "Bacterial small subunit ribosomal RNA", at positions 524 to 776 of the family's 1533-position model. The record is from RNAcentral.
UACGUAGGGGGCUAGCGUUGUCCGGAAUCAUUGGGCGUAAAGCGCGUGUAGGCGGCCCGGUAAGUCCGCUCUGAAAGUCGGGGGCUCAACCCUCGGAUGCGGGUGGAUACUGUCGGGCUUGAGUGCGGAAGAGGCGAGUGGAAUUCCUGGUGUAGCGGUGAAAUGCGCAGAUAUCAGGAGGAACACCUAUUGCGAAGGCAGCUUACUACGCCUAUAUUGACGCUGAGGCACGAAAGCGUGGGGAUCAAACAGG